GAUGAACGCUGGCGGCGUGCUUAACACAUGCAAGUCGAACGAAGCACUUCAUAAAGCUUGCUUUAAGAAGUGACUUAGUGGCGGACGGGUGAGUAACGCGUGGGUAACCUGCCUUACACAGGGGGAUAACAGUUAAAAAUGACUGCUAAUACCGCAUAAAACAGCAGAGUCGCAUGACUCAACUGUCAAAGAUUUAUCGGUGUAAGAUGGACCCGCGUCUGAUUAGCUGGUUGGUGGGGUAACGGCCUACCAAGGCGACGAUCAGUAGCCGGCCUGAGAGGGUGAACGGCCACAUUGGGACUGAGACACGGCCCAAACUCCUACGGGAGGCAGCAGUGGGGAAUAUUGGACAAUGGGCGAAAGCCUGAUCCAGCGACGCCGCGUGAGCGAUGAAGUAUUUCGGUAUGUAAAGCUCUAUCAGCAGGGAAGAAAACGACGGUACCUGACUAAGAAGCC
RNAcentral lists this ribosomal RNA (456 nucleotides) under uncultured bacterium. RNAcentral describes it as "bacterial SSU rRNA". It matches the Rfam family "Bacterial small subunit ribosomal RNA", at positions 28 to 492 of the family's 1533-position model. The record is from RNAcentral.